GCAUUAUUGCUGUAUUCUAUUACUCUGGAUUGACUCUGAUAUUGGUUUUUUUCCUCGAAUAGGCAAGGUCGCGAAGGACAUUCGACGCCAUUCUGGAUGUUGGAUCUCUCUGAGAAGCAUGGCUGAGAAGUGAGAAUUUUGUUCAGAUUUUCAAAGACAGUUCCAUAUCUUGAUUAAUGAACACAUUUUGCAAUGUGUAUGCAACUUUGCUUUGAUCUCCUUAAGAACUGGACAUUCAACAUUUUUCUUUGCUGGUCUGCCAUUUUCUUACCUGCUAGUAAUGGUGAUGGAAAUGGCUAGACAAAAGAUGAAAUAUGAUAAUGGUCAGAAGCUGAACAAAUUAGGAGUGGAACGAUGUUCGGAAGGUUACGGCGAACAGGAUGGCUGUGCACUUGCACAGUACGAUGAGUAACCAGUUCACGAAAAGGUUAAGGUAUCUUAAAUGCAUUAGCUGCAAUUCUUUGAUUGGCUAGAAUUGACUACUUGCAUAUCUUCCUUUGAAUCGAAAUGUAGAAAGUUGACAAAUGUUCGAAAUGCAAUACGUUUCAGAGUUGCAUCGCUUGGGUUCAGGAAUUACGUUCCUUUUUAUAGAACCCCUUAGGCCCCUGAAUGUGAAAGGCAUUGGCACCAGCUAACACUGAAAUUUGCAAGCAUGAUUUACCAAUGAAAUGUGGAAUUCCGGGUUUAUCAAGAACUUGUAUCGGGCAGCUAUGGUAUUUUUCGUUAAUUUUCUCCGGUGAUAGUGUAUCCCAUCACAUCUUUCCACUUCAACUUGUACUUGAUUCGUUUCCCGAGUAGAAAAUCGAUUAAGCCGCGUCUUGCCACUAAAUUACUGAACAUGGAAACUGAUAGGCAGCAAUUCAGGUUCACUCAGCUCUUGCCAUAUAGACUAGUAAAUGCAUAAUAAUCUUCAACGUUUAUCCAUGGCCAAAUCUACGGGAUUUGGUUGCUUAUAGAAUCCGAACUCGUCUCGUAACUGACAUGAGAAAGAUUUUCCGCGAUUCCGUCAUUGAAGGGACGAUAUCUUCCUUAGAAUUUGUCACCAUUCGGGAUGAAUCCGGUUUAUUCAAUUGGGUCGUUUUUACAGCUCGCAACGUUGCCUUCAUUUUCUGACUUAACUCAUUGUUGGCCCAUUUCUUGGCUAGAGCUGUCUCAUCCUAAGUAUUUGUUUUUGCUCUUUGUUGUUAAUAAAUAGCAAACAGUCUCGCAUCUUUCAUCGUUCGCCCGUAGUUUUGUCUAGCAGCAUCACGCUCUUCUAAUAGUUUAAUUGGGUCACGUAAUCAGCUCCUUCCUGUUGGCUUUAAUUCAGCACUUAACGCAUCGUCCUGACUGGCUGGGGAACUCAUUGGAAUAACGCUUUGGUAGUUGAGCUGCUCCGUUUUUGGAUUACAGCAUUUUCGUAGGUUUAGGCCGAGUGAUUUUCCGUGUUUAAACUAACCGAUUACCGUUCGUUAACGGUAUAGUAUUUGGGAGAAAAAAAUCGUUUGAAGUUUCAUCCGAUUCGGUCAAUGCUUCGUCGUUCCCAACAAAAGCAUUGGGGUCUUUGCUGAUUUUUACAUCGUUCACUACUUUUUCGUCGACUGAUUGCUCUGGAAUAUAUAUAUCUUUCAGUGGGAUUUGGCACCCUGGUUCUAUCACUAUGUUUACAAAUGCUUGUAGUUCUUGUUUCGCUUUGGUUAAAUCUCUUUGUCCAAGCCAAAUCCAUCCUGUAAUAUAUCAGUUUCCCGAAUACGAGUUCUUAAUUGCGUAAAAACACUUGGGGUGUCAUUUCGAGUCUACACUGCUUUUUAGGAAAUGCAGUAACUUCUGAUUUCUCUCAUCCUUCGGGUCUUCUUUCUUUUGUGCAUGUAUUUCCCUAUUCUGUAGCUCCGAUCCGUUAUGCGCUAAGUUGGUGUUUAUCUUUAUUGUUAGAGGAAAUGGUAUGUAGUAUGUCGUCGAGGAAUUUGACCAAAAGUAUGCAGAAUAUAGCAUAGACUCUUAACUCUCUCUGAGAAACAGCGAAUGAAUUGCGUUCGAAAUUUAUUUAGACUAAACUGUAUUGCUAAUUAACGAAAGAAUUUGUUUGCAGAUGACAGUAAAUUUGUUGCGAUGAAGCUUCACGAUUCACAACUACUCAAGACAUGUCGCGAUGAAAGACUACAUUGAAUGGAAGAAAGAGAUCCAUCAGUGAGACGAGUUGAUUUGGACUAGGUGGAAUAUCUGAAGUCUUCAAGAGUCGCACCGGCAUCCGUGUUUCUCCUUUCGUUCCAGCACAUUUCUAUGUCGGUAGCACGUUGGGCGUAUCAAUGGAAAAAUUAAGAAUGCCGAUCUGAAGAAAACAAAUGUUGCAGAUUCCAUUUGGCAGGAGCUUGGUAUUCAGCGGUGUUUACUUAGUCAAAGUAUAAUACACGACCUUGCUAGAGA
Daphnia magna is the source of this 2403-nucleotide long non-coding RNA. RefSeq lists it as uncharacterized. The transcript has 3 exons. NCBI's taxonomy places the organism in Eukaryota, Metazoa, Arthropoda, Branchiopoda, Diplostraca, Daphniidae. The record is from RefSeq and is a predicted model, not a curated record.